GGCCUCGUGGCCUAAUGGCCAAGGCAUCGGUUUCCGGUACCGGAGAUUCCAGGUUCGAGUCCUGGCGGGGUCG
The sequence is a transfer RNA, 73 nucleotides long. It matches the Rfam family "tRNA". Rfam says of the family: Transfer RNA (tRNA) molecules are approximately 80 nucleotides in length. Their secondary structure includes four short double-helical elements and three loops (D, anti-codon, and T loops). The record is from Rfam.